GUGAGGAAUAUUGCGCAAUGGCCGAAAGGCUGACGCAGCGACGCCGCGUGGAGGAUGAAGUCCGUUAGGAUGUAAACUCCUUUUGCAGGGGAUGAAUGUUCCGCUUUAUGCGGACUUGACCGUACCCUGCGAAUAAGGAUCGGCCAACUACGUGCCAGCAGCCGCGGUAAUACGUAGGAUCCAAGCGUUGUCCGGAUUUACUGGGUGUAAAGGGCGUGUAGGUGGAUUUUUAAGUCGGUGGUGAAAUCCUGCAGCUCAACUGCAGAAUUGCCUCCGAUACUGGAAAUCUUGAGUGCGGCAGAGGGAGACGGAAUUCAUGGUGUAGCGGUGAAAUGUGUAGAUAUCAUGAAGAACACCGGUUGCGAAGGCGGUCUCCUGGUCCGUUACUGACACUGAGGCGCGAAAGCGUGGGGAGCAAACAGGAUUAGAUACCCUAGUAGUCC
Molecule: ribosomal RNA, 443 nt
Filed under: uncultured bacterium
Lineage: Bacteria
Description: bacterial SSU rRNA
Rfam family: Bacterial small subunit ribosomal RNA
Source: RNAcentral